Molecule: ribosomal RNA, 233 nt
Filed under: Trigonopterus sp. 605B MB-2015
Lineage: Eukaryota; Metazoa; Arthropoda; Insecta; Coleoptera; Curculionidae
Description: partial 16S ribosomal RNA
Source: RNAcentral
CCGGUUUAAACUCAGAUCAUGUAAAAUUUUAAAGGUCGAACAGACCUAAUAUGAAAGCAUCUUCACCAACAAUUAAUUUUAAUCCAACAUCGAGGUCGCAAACUUUUUUUUUGAUAAGAACUCUAAAAAAAAUUACGCUGUUAUCCCUAAGGUAAUUUUAUCUUAUAAUCUAAAUUUUAGGAUCAUAAACUCAUAAAUAAAUGUACUAAUAAAAAAAAAGUUACAUAAAUUUU